This is a non-coding RNA of Pelobates cultripes (western spadefoot toad), 306 nucleotides long. Lineage: Eukaryota; Metazoa; Chordata; Amphibia; Anura; Pelobatidae. The record is from the annotation of a GenBank genome assembly.
CACAUGGUUGCAAAAAGACACAAAACACUUUAAAAUACAUAAAGUCACAUUUACACAUAACACACAGGCAUUUCACAUAUCCCCAGAUAGCUGGGAUCUGAGUGCACAUUAUUAGAUGAAUGGCACUCAGAUCACACAAAUAAGCCUUUCUGCAGGGGAAAUAAACAGUUUAACCUGCAGGACCAUAGUCCAAAGGGAGCAGGCGAGCAACCAGGCUUCUCCAGUUCACAGUGGCGAGGUUGGUUUCGCCACACUUCUCCCCUUUACCAACUAGACUAACAGGGUAUCUGACCUCCUGCCGGUCAG